CCAGACUCCUACGGGAGGCAGCAGUGGGGAAUAUUGCACAAUGGGCGCAAGCCUGAUGCAGCCAUGCCGCGUGUAUGAAGAAGGCCUUCGGGUUGUAAAGUACUUUCAGUCGGGAGGAAGGUGUCAAGGUUAAUAACCUUGGCAAUUGACGUUACCGACAGAAGAAGCACCGGCUAACUCCGUGCCAGCAGCCGCGGUAAUACGGAGGGUGCAAGCGUUAAUCGGAAUUACUGGGCGUAAAGCGCACGCAGGCGGUCUGUCAAGUCGGAUGUGAAAUCCCCGGGCUCAACCUGGGAACUGCAUUCGAAACUGGCAGGCUGGAGUCUUGUAGAGGGGGGUAGAAUUCCAGGUGUAGCGGUGAAAUGCGUAGAGAUCUGGAGGAAUACCGGUGGCGAAGGCGGCCCCCUGGACAAAGACUGACGCUCAGGUGCGAAAGCGUGGGGAGCAAACAGGAUUAGAUACCCCCGUAUG
This 471-nucleotide ribosomal RNA is filed under the name uncultured bacterium. Its description in RNAcentral is "bacterial SSU rRNA". It matches the Rfam family "Bacterial small subunit ribosomal RNA", at positions 331 to 793 of the family's 1533-position model. The record is from RNAcentral.